This 253-nucleotide ribosomal RNA is filed under the name uncultured bacterium. RNAcentral describes it as "partial 16S ribosomal RNA". It matches the Rfam family "Bacterial small subunit ribosomal RNA", at positions 524 to 776 of the family's 1533-position model. The record is from RNAcentral.
UACAGAGGGUGCGAGCGUUAAUCGGAAUUACUGGGCGUAAAGCGUGCGUAGACGGUAGCGUAAGUCAGAUGUGAAAGCCCCGGGCUCAACCUGGGAACUGCUUCUGAUACUGGCGGACUUGAGGCCAGUAGGGGUCACUAGAACUGACGGUGGAGCGGUGAAAUGCGUAGAUAUCGUCAGGAAUGCCGGUGGUGAAGACGGGUGACUGGGCUGGUUCUGACACUGAGGCACGAAAGCGUGGGGAGCGAACGGG